This is a small nuclear RNA of Hyla sarda, 107 nucleotides long. The record is from RefSeq and is a predicted model, not a curated record. Lineage: Eukaryota; Metazoa; Chordata; Amphibia; Anura; Hylidae.
AUGCUCAUUUCAGAAGCACAUAGACUAAAACUGGAAUGAAACAAAGAGAUAAGCAUGGCCCCCGGGGCAAGGAUGAUGUGCAAAUUUGUGAAUUGUUCCAUAUUUUU